AACGCACCUUGCGCCCUCUGGUAUUCCGGAGGGCAUGCCUGUUUGAGUGUCAUGAACACCUCACCCCCUCGGGUUUCCGAUCGGGUGGAUUUGGGUGCUGCCAGUUACAUGGCUCGCCUUAAAAGCAUUAGCGGUUGUUGACGUAAUAAGUUUCGUCUUGUCGACCGCUCCUAAUCUCCUUCGGGAUGUCUCUAGGGACACUUCAUGAUCUGACCUCAAAUCAGGUAGGACUACCCGCUGAACUUAA
RNAcentral lists this unclassified non-coding RNA (247 nucleotides) under uncultured Vishniacozyma. Its description in RNAcentral is "sequence contains ITS2". The stretch from base 1 to 52 matches the Rfam family "5.8S ribosomal RNA", at positions 103 to 154 of the family's 154-position model. The record is from RNAcentral. Lineage: Eukaryota; Fungi; Basidiomycota; Tremellomycetes; Tremellales; Bulleribasidiaceae.